UGGGGAAUUUUGGACAAUGGGCGCAAGCCUGAUCCAGCCAUGCCGCGUGCGGGAAGAAGGCCUUCGGGUUGUAAACCGCUUUUGUCAGGGAAGAAACGGUGGUUCCUAAUACGGACUGCUAAUGACGGUACCUGAAGAAUAAGCACCGGCUAACUACGUGCCAGCAGCCGCGGUAAUACGUAGGGUGCAAGCGUUAAUCGGAAUUACUGGGCGUAAAGCGUGCGCAGGCGGUUAUGUAAGACAGAUGUGAAAUCCCCGGGCUCAACCUGGGAACUGCAUUUGUGACUGCAUAGCUAGAGUUUGUCAGAGGGGGGUGGAAUUCCACGUGUAGCAGUGAAAUGCGUAGAUAUGUGGAAGAACACCGAUGGCGAAGGCAGCCCCCUGGGAUAAGACUGACGCUCAUGCACGAAAGCGUGGGGAGCAAACA
RNAcentral lists this ribosomal RNA (427 nucleotides) under uncultured Burkholderiales bacterium. Its description in RNAcentral is "partial 16S ribosomal RNA". It matches the Rfam family "Bacterial small subunit ribosomal RNA", at positions 355 to 774 of the family's 1533-position model. The record is from RNAcentral. Lineage: Bacteria; Pseudomonadati; Pseudomonadota; Betaproteobacteria; Burkholderiales.